UGAGGAAUAUUGGUCAAUGGACGCAAGUCUGAACCAGCCAUGCCGCGUGCAGGAUGACGGCUCUAUGAGUUGUAAACUGCUUUUGUACGAGGGUAAACGCAGAUACGCGUAUCUGUCUGAAAGUAUCGUACGAAUAAGGAUCGGCUAACUCCGUGCCAGCAGCCGCGGUAAUACGGAGGAUCCAAGCGUUAUCCGGAUUUAUUGGGUUUAAAGGGUGCGUAGGCGGUUUUAUAAGUUAGAGGUGAAAUGUUCGGGCUUAACCCGGAAACUGCCUCUAAUACUGUAGGACUAGAGAGUAGUUGCGGUAGGCGGAAUGUAUGGUGUAGCGGUGAAAUGCUUAGAUAUCAUACAGAACACCGAUUGCGAAGGCAGCUUACCAAACUAUAUCUGACGUUGAGGCACGAAAGCGUGGGGAGCAAACAGGAUUAGAUACC
Molecule: ribosomal RNA, 434 nt
Filed under: uncultured bacterium
Lineage: Bacteria
Description: bacterial SSU rRNA
Rfam family: Bacterial small subunit ribosomal RNA
Source: RNAcentral